This is a non-coding RNA of Cricetulus griseus (Chinese hamster), 3083 nucleotides long. The record is from RefSeq and is a predicted model, not a curated record. NCBI's taxonomy places the organism in Eukaryota, Metazoa, Chordata, Mammalia, Rodentia, Cricetidae.
UAAUUUAAAUUUUUCUGUUACUUUUUUCUUCAGAAAAUAUUAUUUUCAUAUACUUUUCUAAUUUUAUUAAAUUAUAACAAUUUACACAUAUUAAAGGUAUUAAUACUUAUUAAGGCAUGAUUGAGGAACAUCUUAUUCAGGACCUUCAAAAUAACCAUAGAAGCAGGAUGUGGUGGUGCAUGCCUCUAAUUUCAGCACUUGGGAGACAGAGGCAGAUGGACCAGCCCAAUAUACAUAGCAAGUUCCAGGCCAAUCAAGGCCACAUGAUGAGACACUGUCCACCUCCCCAAAAGGUAAAUAUAAAUUUUAAUACAAACAUUGGAGACACUGUAAUAGAUUGAGCGCUGAUCUUUUCAUGACAACAGGGAAUUUAUCACUUCAGAGAAGUGUGGGAAGCAAUGGGUGGAGGAUUACUCAGAAGAAACAUCCAUAAUAAAGCAUUCAGCUAAAUCAGUCUAACAGGAUUCUCAAUGAAGACAAGCCAGGGUGAUCUAACAACAUCUGGGACUUGGUAGAUGAUGGGGAACCUGUCCAAAUAUGGAACAUGAGGCAAUUCUGACGAAUCUGACAGACUCUUUGCUAAAACAGAAGUUUAUAAGGAAUGCAUAGAAGGACACAGUGGGUUCAGAUAUGUCUUUGUCAUCUCUUACAAGGAUUUGCAAAAUUGGUAUACAGUGGUAAUAGAUUUUACAAAACAUAAAAUCUUUUCUCUUUGUAUAACUUUGCAGCACCUCAUAUGACAAGGGGUGGGGGGGGCGUUAAUACCAUGACUGACUCUUUACCCUUCUGUCUGUAGCGCUCUACAACUAUAGUAAGAGUUAACCCUUUCACAUUUCUUAACAUUAAUUUCCAUAAGAAAUCAUACACAUUGAUGUGAAACACAGGCCCUGCUUCAAAGAGAAUACAGUUUAUUCUAAGCCAUAUACAAGUGACCAUAGCCCCAGAACAAUUUGAGUUAUCUCACAUGACAUGAUCUUUUGUAGAAGUGAUUACAAACUCUUGGAAUUAUGUACCAAGUGAUAGACAUAAAUCAAUGUAAUUACCAGACAUUUUGGUGGGGGACUUGGUAGGUGGUUAGAGUAAAGUGGGAAAAUCUCCAAGUCUCAGAUGUCUUCUGAUAACAUCCUCAGCUUUCAGGUUUGUGGAAGCUAGUAGUCAGCUGACAUAUUAAUAUAAUCUCAUAGGCUUAGUUAUGCAAGGUCUGUUGGAUGUAGUGGAUGGUGAUAAAUGGCUAUUAAGGAAACUAAAGACAGCCCAAGAUAAAACAUUCCUUCUUCCCACAAUCUUGAAGUUCUGAUUAGUUCAUGGAAUCUUCUAGGUAGGUAUUGCAUUUUUCAGCACACAUCUGGUCAUACAUAUACUCUUACUCCUUAUAGAAUAUUUUAUUAGAAACAAGCCUCUUUUACAUGUCAAUCCCACAUCCCUCUCCCUCGCCUCCUCCCCUCCUUCCCUGCCCCCGACUCCCCUUUCUGCUCCCCAGUGAGGGUGAGGCCUUCCAUGGGACAUCUUCAAAAUCUGUCACAUCAUUUGGCCUUAUAGAAUUAUACUUAGUAUUUUCCCUUACACACAGUAGAAACAUGACAGACAUCUGUUGAAUUUAGUAGUAGAUAAGUAAUUUUUAAUGUACUUUCAGUCUCUUAAACAUAAAAACCUUGUUGCCACUGUUCAAACAUGAAUAUACUUAAAUGUCAUUUGCAAGGAGACUUAUUGGUUUGUUUUAACAGAAAUUGCUCAGUAUCUAAAAAACUAUUAAACUUUUGUAAUAAAUAAGUGAAAAGAAAUUCUCAACAUUUUUCAAAAAUCUACUUACAAAUCAGAAUUAAUUACAUUAAGAGGUCUGUACUCAUUGUAGAGAAAAAGGAGAUGAAAACAAUGUUAACUUAUAUUUAUGCUAUUUUUAAGGACACAUAGAGCUGAACAUAUCUCACUAUUUCUUACAUCACCACAUGUUUGAACUUCAUUUUGUCUAAAAACAAGCCAAGUAGUUUAAAUAAUUUGUUUCCAAAUUCAUUUAAUUGCUAUUGAACAUUCACUAUGUGAAUAAUCCAAUGAUGGGGAACUUUUAGAUAAAGAUUGCACAAAUAUAUAAAUGAAGUUGGUAUUAUAAGAGAUAAUAGCUCAAUAAACAUAGAACUAAGGGGUAUAGGAGGCAAAGAUCACGUGUCAUUUGUCAAUCAGAAGAGCUUCAGGAAAGAGCAAUUGGGAUUUCACCAUGGUGAAGAUUGGCCUCUGAGGAAUGGCAUCUCAGGCAGUUGCCACAACAUAAACGAGGACCUGUGAGAGCAGGCACAGAAGGUAUAAGCAGAGAGCAAACCAGUCAACCAGCCAUUUUUCUUAGCUGGAUCAUCAUGGCAUACCUGCAGGAAAACACAGGGAUAAAUGUGUAAAGAAACAUCAAUUCCCUUUCCAUGGCUAUAAGUGGUGUUCCUAAGCUGGGCCAGUUUUGUGAUCAGAGGCUAAAAUGUAAGUCACUCCAUGUAGGAGUGGAGUUGGCAGAUAAGCUAGCCAAGGUAUACUUGGAUGUGUAAAUAGAGGCGGUGCAAACAGUGAUCUACUUGGACAGAUAAGGGAUCUAUUCACCUACUGUUGAGUUACCCUUCGAUAGUUUCUCAGACUCUUAAGAUAAGAGUGAAUUCUGGAGUAAGACUGUUAUGUCAAAUACCUGUACCAACCCUUUCUAUGCUAAGGAACUGAUUCAAGAUUCAACAGAACCAGGGGACUGAGGAUAUGCUGAUCAAGAGCUGCUGUGAGGAUAAAAAGUCAAUAUCGAUGGAAGAGGUUCAGCACAGACUCUUAACAUGCUUUAAGAAGAUGUAAGGCAAAACCAGAAAACUCCCAAGUCACAGCCUACCCUGGUGUACGGAGCUAACAACUGAAUCAAGAACAAUGUGAUCUCAAUAAGUUUAUGGCAAGAAUCAAUGCCCCAGUCUGACCUCCACGUGAGCAUUCUUUUGUACAAGUACCAGAACUCAGAAACAAUUCACACACACUCACCAUACAAACAUGCUCCCAGAGAUUUUAAAAGAAAAAUUGUGUAUCUGAAUAAUCAGUCUUGACUCAUUAUUAAAAUGAUUCUAUUUCCA